Oncorhynchus keta (chum salmon) is the source of this 915-nucleotide long non-coding RNA. RefSeq lists it as uncharacterized. The transcript is spliced from 3 exons. Lineage: Eukaryota; Metazoa; Chordata; Actinopteri; Salmoniformes; Salmonidae. The record is from RefSeq and is a predicted model, not a curated record.
GUGACUAUCUGAAGACGUUUCUUCAUGGUUUGUCUCUGUUCUAGGUCUCUGGGAGUGACUAUCUGAAGACGUUACUUCAUGGGUUUGUCUCUGUUCUAGGUCUCUGGGAGUGACUAUCUGAAGACGUUACUUCAUGGUUUGUCUCUGUUCUAGGUCUCUGGGAGUGACUAUCUGAAGACGUUUCUUUGUGGGUUUGUCUCUGUUCUAGGUCUCUGGGAGUGACUAUCUGAAGACGUUACUUCGUGGGUUUGUCUCUGUUCUAGGUCUCUGGGAGUGACUAUCUGAAGACGUUACUUCGUGGGUUUGUCUCCGUUCUAGGUCUCUGGGAGUGACUAUCUGAAGACGUUUCUUUGUGGGUUUGUCUCUGUUCUAGGUCUCUGGGAGUGACUAUCUGAAGACGUUACUUCGUGGGUUUGUCUCCGUUCUAGGUCUCUGGGAGUGACUAUCUGAAGACGUUACUUCGUGGGUUUGUCUCCGUUCUAGGUCUCUGGGAGUGACUAUCUGAAGACGUUACUUCGUGGGUUUGUCUCCGUUCUAGGUCUCUGGGAGUGACUAUCUGAAGACGUUACUUCGUGGGUUUGUCUCUGUUCUAGGUCUCUGGGAGUGACUAUCUGAAGACGUUACUUCAUAGGUUUGUCUCCGUUCUAGGUCUCUGGGAGUGACUAUCUGAAGACGUUACUUCAUGGUUUGUCUCUGUUCUAGGUCUCUGGGAGUGACUAUCUGAAGACGUUUCUUCAUAGGUUUGUCUCUGGGAGUGACUAUCUGAAGACGUUACUUCGUGGGUUUGUCUCCGUUCUAGGUCUCUGGGAGUGACUAUCUGAAGACGUUACUUUGUGGGUUUGUCUCUGUUCUAGGUCUCUGGGAGUGACUAUCUGAAGAUGUUACUUCAUGGUUUGUCUCUGUUCUAGGUCUCUG